This 101-nucleotide ribosomal RNA is filed under the name Microcebus murinus (gray mouse lemur). The record is from RNAcentral. Lineage: Eukaryota; Metazoa; Chordata; Mammalia; Primates; Cheirogaleidae.
GUCUAUGGUCGCACUACCCUCAAUGCAUCUGAUCUCGGAAGCUAAGCAGGGUUGGGCCUAGUUAGUACUUGGGUGUGAGACCAAAAUGUGUGCUAUUGUUU